Molecule: ribosomal RNA, 1101 nt
Filed under: uncultured bacterium
Lineage: Bacteria
Description: bacterial SSU rRNA
Rfam family: Bacterial small subunit ribosomal RNA
Source: RNAcentral
AGGCACCUGACCGGUAUGAGGGGAAACGUUCGGAACGGACGCUAAUACCGCAUACGUCCUACGGGAGAAAGCAGGGGACCUUCGGGCCUUGCGCUAUCAGAUGAGCCUAGGUCGGAUUAGCUAGUUGGUGAGGUAAUGGCUCACCAAGGCUACGAUCCGUAACUGGUCUGAGAGGAUGAUCAGUCACACUGGAACUGAGACACGGUCCAGACUCCUACGGGAGGCAGCAGUGGGGAAUAUUGGACAAUGGGCGAAAGCCUGAUCCAGCCAUGCCGCGUGUGUGAAGAAGGUCUUCGGAUUGUAAAGCACUUUAAGUUGGGAGGAAGGGCAUUAACCUAAUACGUUAGUGUUUUGACGUUACCGACAGAAUAAGCACCGGCUAACUCUGUGCCAGCAGCCGCGGUAAUACAGAGGGUGCAAGCGUUAAUCGGAAUUACUGGGCGUAAAGCGCGCGUAGGUGGUUUGUUAAGUUGAAUGUGAAAUCCCCGGGCUCAACCUGGGAACUGCAUCCAAAACUGGCAAGCUAGAGUAUGGUAGAGGGUAGUGGAAUUUCCUGUGUAGCGGUGAAAUGCGUAGAUAUAGGAAGGAACACCAGUGGCGAAGGCGACUACCUGGACUGAUACUGACACUGAGGUGCGAAAGCGUGGGUAGCAAACAGGAUUAGAUACCCUGGUAGUCCACGCCGUAAACGAUGUCAACUAGCCGUUGGGUCCCUUGAGGACUUAGUGGCGCAGCUAACGCAAUAAGUUGACCGCCUGGGGAGUACGGCCGCAAGGUUAAACUCAAUGAAUUGACGGGGGCCGCACAAGCGGUGGAGCAUGGUGUUUUAUUCGAUGCAACGCGAAGAACCUUACCUACCCUUGACAUCCAGAGGACUUUCCAGAGAUGGAUUGGUGCCUUCGGGACUCUUGAGACAGAUGCCUGCAUGACUGUCCGUCAGCUCUCGUGGUGUGAAAUGUUUGGGUUAGUCCCGGUAACGAAGCGCACCCCUUAUCCUAUUUUGCCAGCGAGUAUGUCCGGACUCUCUAGGAACUGGCGUGACAACGAGAGUUGGGUACACGCUCAGUCACCUUGGCUUACGGUAGGUCUAACACUAUGCCU